AUUGAACGCUGGCGGCAUGCCUUACACAUGCAAGUCGAACGGUAACGGGCCUUCGGGUGCCGACGAGUGGCGCACGGGGGAGUAAUACAUCGGAACGUGCCCGAUCGUGGGGGAUAACGAGGCGAAAGCUUUGCUAAUACCGCAUACGAUCUACGGAUGAAAGCAGGGGACCGCAAGGCCUUGCGCGGACGGAGCGGCCGAUGGCAGAUUAGUUAGUUGGUGGGAUAAAAGCUUACCAAGCCGACGAUCUGUAGCUGGUCUGAGAGGAUGAUCAGCCACACUGGGACUGAGACACGGCCCAGACUCCUACGGGAGGCAGCAGUGGGGAAUUUUGGACAAUGGGCGCAAGCCUGAUCCAGCAAUGCCGCGUGAAGGAUGAAGGCCUUCGGGUUGUAAACUGCUUUUGUACGGAAAGAAAAGCCUUCUUUUAAUACAGGAGGGUCAUGACGGUACCGUAAGAAUAAGCACCGGCUAACUACGUG
RNAcentral lists this ribosomal RNA (482 nucleotides) under uncultured bacterium. Its description in RNAcentral is "partial 16S ribosomal RNA". It matches the Rfam family "Bacterial small subunit ribosomal RNA", at positions 30 to 507 of the family's 1533-position model. The record is from RNAcentral.